CGAUGCAACGCGAAGAACCUUACCAAGGCUUGACAUGCACCGGACAGCUGCAGAGAUGUGGCUUUCUUUGGACUGGUGCACAGGUGGUGCAUGGUUGUCGUCAGCUCGUGUCGUGAGAUGUUGGGUUAAGUCCCGCAACGAGCGCAACCCUCGUUCUAUGUUGCCAGCGCGUCAUGGCGGGGACUCAUAGGAGACUGCCGGGGUCAACUCGGAGGAAGGUGGGGACGACGUCAAAUCAUCAUGCCCCUUAUGUCUUGGGCUUCACGCAUGCUACAAUGGCCGGUACAAAGGGUUGCGAAACUGUGAGGUGGAGCGAAUCCCAAAAAGCCGGUNCUCAGUUCGGAUUGGGUUAGUAGUUUGUAUGCAGGUCC
RNAcentral lists this ribosomal RNA (371 nucleotides) under bacterium FS3a. Its description in RNAcentral is "bacterial SSU rRNA". It matches the Rfam family "Bacterial small subunit ribosomal RNA", at positions 952 to 1325 of the family's 1533-position model. The record is from RNAcentral.